AUUUAAGUAUCUUAAUUUUAAAGUUUAAUAUUGAAGAUAUUAAGAUGAUAUAAAUAUCCUUAAAUA
This 66-nucleotide transfer RNA is filed under the name Malcus inconspicuus. Its description in RNAcentral is "tRNA-Phe". The record is from RNAcentral. Lineage: Eukaryota; Metazoa; Arthropoda; Insecta; Hemiptera; Malcidae.